Molecule: ribosomal RNA, 460 nt
Filed under: uncultured bacterium
Lineage: Bacteria
Description: partial 16S ribosomal RNA
Rfam family: Bacterial small subunit ribosomal RNA
Source: RNAcentral
CCUACGGGUGGCAGCAGUGAGGAAUAUUGGUCAAUGGACGCAAGUCUGAACCAGCCAAGUAGCGUGCAGGAUGACGGCCCUAUGGGUUGUAAACUGCUUUUGUACGGGAGUAAACGGGGGUACGUGUGUCGUUUUGAGAGUAUCUUACGAGAAAGAAUCGGCGAACUCCGUGCCAGCAGCCGCGGUAAUACGGAGGAUGCAAGCGUUAUCCGGAUUUAUUGGGUUUAAAGGGUGCGUAGGCGGGUGGAUAAGUUAGAGGUGAAAUCCCGGGGCUUAACUGUGGAAUUGCAUCUGAUACUGUUGGGCUAGAGAGUAGAUGCGGUAGGCGGAAUGUAUGGUGUAGCGGUGAAAUGCUUAGAGAUCAUACAGAACACCGAUUGCGAAGGCAGGUGACCAAGCUACAUCUGACGUUGAGGCACGAAAGCGUGGGGAGCAAACAGGAUUAGAUACCCGAGUAGUC